UGGGGAAUUUUGCGCAAUGGGGGAAACCCUGACGCAGCAACGCCGCGUGAGUGAUGAAGGCCUUCGGGUCGUAAAGCUCUGUCAGAGGGGAAGAAAUGCAGGGGUGCUAAUAUCAUCUUUGCUUGACGGUACCCUCAAAGGAAGCACCGGCUAACUCCGUGCCAGCAGCCGCGGUAAUACGGAGGGUGCGAGCGUUGUUCGGAAUUAUUGGGCGUAAAGCGCGUGUAGGCGGUUUGAUAAGUCUGAUGUGAAAGCCCCGGGCUCAACCUGGGAAGUGCAUUGGAAACUGUCAGACUUGAAUACGGGAGAGGGUAGUGGAGUUCCUAGUGUAGGAGUGAAAUCCGUAGAUAUUAGGAGGAACACCGGUGGCGAAGGCGGCUACCUGGACCGAUAUUGACGCUGAGACGCGAAAGCAUGGGGAGCAAACAG
RNAcentral lists this ribosomal RNA (429 nucleotides) under uncultured bacterium. Its description in RNAcentral is "bacterial SSU rRNA". It matches the Rfam family "Bacterial small subunit ribosomal RNA", at positions 355 to 775 of the family's 1533-position model. The record is from RNAcentral.